Molecule: long non-coding RNA, 2890 nt
Filed under: Oryza brachyantha (malo sina)
Lineage: Eukaryota; Viridiplantae; Streptophyta; Magnoliopsida; Poales; Poaceae
Description: long non-coding RNA (OBRA_LNC001578)
Source: RNAcentral
ACUUGGAUCAGCCCAGUGGAGGUGUGCCCAUGCGCUCUCGUACACUCGAACCAGCGGGCGCCGGAGCAGCGGCGGCGACGGAUUUUGGGUGGGGGGUGCACACGCUGCUGCCCUUGGCACGCGGCGCCGUUCCGGUGCCCGGGUUGCCGGAGGCGGAGGAGUUCCAACGCCGCGGAGCUGCCCGGAUCACACCCUACGCGCCGGUAGCUGGUAAGAGGGGAUUAAUAAGCACCCGUGCUGGAGGACGGCGAGGAGUCCGAGACUGAUUUGGGAGUUUUAUGCAUCAGAUGACGACGGAGGGGGAAGGAUUCGAGAUUGAUGGGCGGGCAUUGGUGUCGCCGAGCGCGUCGGAUCGGAGCACUGCAACGAUGAGGUAGAAAUCUGCUAGUGGUUGAGUUCCUUAACUAUCCUGUCAAUUUUUUUGUAUACCUCUUUUGGAUCAUACGGCUUGAAUCAAUGGUACUGAAUGUUUGGGGUACAAUUAUUUGUUUAGUUUGUUCCUGAUCCUUAAAUCAAUUAGUGGUAUAGUCUGAUACUUGAAAGAAAUUAGAUUUCCAGUUCUCACAGUUUCGUAGCUAGUCUUGACAAAUGACAAAUAUUCAUGCAUUCAUUUUCUACUUUCAUCUACAUUAUUAGACUCGAAGCAUUCAUCAGUCAAACUGGAUUCGUAUUAUACACUAUCCUAUACAUACAGUCAAACUUCGCUACUAUUUUGAGGGAAUGCGAAUACUACUAAAAUUUCAAUCAGUGUAAGAUAGGCGCUCUUGUUAAUUUUCUCUUUCAACAACGUAACUUACCAUUUUCUCACAAUGCAUAGAUCAACUUGAUAUGAAUGUAGACAUGUAGUAGCAAUGACAGUGCUGGACAUUAUCCCACAGCCGAAUGCAGGGUUUCAACCACAGUAUCCAUGCUUGGUCGCCUGCGCCUAUCUCCUUCCAGACACAACACUGCUAUCUUUAGCACUGUGGCUGCCUGUGAAUAGUUGAAUUCUCCAUUAAGCCUGCGGUCAAUGAAUUCCAGCAGCCAUGAUUGAUCUUCGCUAGCCAAUUUCUCGUUGAGAGUAUCAACAGUGCAUUUAACAGCCAGUUCUACCUCUUCCUUGCCAUCAAACACCCAUCGGGAAACCCGACUCCCCUUCACUAACUCAACAAGUAAUAUUCCAUAGCUGUAAACAUCAGCCUUGCCUGUGAUUGGAAGAUUUAGAGUCCAUUCUGGUGCAAUAUACCCUCUAGUUCCAUGCACUCUCGACAACAUUUGUGCUGUUCCUUGCUUAAGUAGUUUCACCAGUCCAAAAUCUGCAAUCUUUGGCUCAAAGUCUUUAUCUAGCAAUAUGUUUUCCGGUUUGAUAUCGCAGUGCACAAUCCAUUCAAGACACUCAUGGUGGAGAUAUGCCAGUCCUUUUGCCACUCCAAGUGCAAUAUUGUACCUUUGGCUCCAUUUUAGGAUAGGAAAUAAGUUGUGAUCGUCAAACAGAAGUCUGUCUAAAGAACCGUUCUCAAUGUACUCAGAAACCAAGAGCCUAUUUGUCUUCUCCACACAAAACCCCCAAAUUCUGACCAGAUUCAUAUGAUAUAUUCUUCCUAUGACGCUUAACUCAGACUUUAACUCCUGCUCUCCAUAGAUCACAUCAUUUAGCUUUUUCACUGCAACCUUCCUUUCAUCAUCGAGGACUCCCUUGUAGACCACACCUGAUCCACCACUUCCCAGCUCUUCCUUAAAACAAUUGGUUGCCUUGUGUAACUCCUUGUAGCUGAAUCGCCGGAAUUGACUCGAAAUGAUCAUGUAGCCCUCGUCAGUAAUCUCUGGGCUUUUCUCCCACUUUUGAACAACUGAAAACCCAACAAUGAUUAAAAUUACUUCAAUCAAAAGCAAUGUUAGAACAGAAGACAGGAAGUAACCAAACGCAAACUUGGAACUGACAUCCUCAGACAUUUGGGAUGAAGGGUAGGCCAAUUUUUCAGUAACUCCGCAGGAAUGGGUUAGUCUAUAAUCUGAUUCUUUGGUAAAUGACACUCCCUUAGGAACUUUCAGAUAGUUGUCAUUGUAAGGAUCUGGGAAGCUCUUGCCAUUGAAAAGUGAGUAUUUUGGAUAACAUUGGCCAGUUCCUUUCCGGUAACCAAAGCCUUGGCAAUUAUUGAUGGCCAGGCAUAUAUUUCUACAGUAAGAGUAUGGCACUGACUCUUUGUAGGCGAUGUCGUACCCCCAGAAGUCAGUUCCAGUGUUCUUUCUGAAUGAGAAGUCAUGGCUGAUAGUGUUGUUUGUAUUGUUUCUAUUCCCUUUAUCCCAGAUAGCAGUGAUGUUUUCCUUGCGCUUGCACCCUUUGCUCCAGUCACUCGGUUCAAUCACCUCGAAGCCUCGGAGGCAAGAACAAUGGAGUUUCGGGGUGUAAUUGCAGACACUGUUUAUGCCACACACUCCAUGCAUUUGACAUACUCUUGAGAAUGCCAUCCAAGAAAUUGACCAGCUGCCACUGGUUUCGUUUAGGCUGUAUAGCCUAAGAUUACCAUCAUAAUCCAGUGUCAACCUCCUCAUGACAUGAUCACCAAGAUCAGAGGCUUCAAAUUUAAGUUUGUCACUUGAUACAAAAUAGCCUCCCUGAUCUAGAACCCCAUAGCGUCUACUGUUAUAAGUUGACCUCCCACUCUUCCAUGGGUUAUCAAAGGAAGGAUUUGGCCAAUAUAUGCUUGCAGUGUCAGGGCCAUUGUAGACAAGAGUCAGCACAUUGUUACUGUCAUAGAGAAAGUUGUAGAAGCCUGAAUAUAGCAAACCCCUGGCAGAAGCAGAUACCAGUUUAACAUUCCUAGUUAUUGGCUGCAGAGGCAAAAGUGUAUCCGUUGGCGAGUCGAAGCUCCUCCAUAGAUUCUGCCCGUCUGGAUCCGUGACAACAAGG